AAAUAAUCACUUUAUUAAAUAAAGUUCUCCAGUUAUGACAAAUAUUUAAUGAGGUCUUGCAAAAAUUAAAUGUGUCCUAAUCUUCUAGAUAGAGGUUGGAGUUCUUUCGCUAGGUUGUAGUAAGCAUGUUUUAUGGAUCCGAUAUGAUGAUUUUCUGUGAUAAUUUAUGAGAAGCCGAGGGCAGAAACAUUCAGUAGAUCAACAAGGGUUGGAUGAAAACCUGACUCUUUCUAAGUGUGGAUCUGCGAUGGAGUUCACAAUUGGGUCAAAUUUAAGAAAUUUCCAUUGGAGACAAAUAUGCAGAUAAGUACUAUCAUCAGAUUUAAUAUUAACACUGUGUAUGCUUUGGAUAGUUUAUAUUCUGAAUUCGGUGCAAGGUUUUUUAUGAAGACUAUCAAUCUUUUCAAUUAAUAAAGACCUUAUUUUUCUAUCAGGCCAAGUUAUAUAUUGGUAUCAUAAAGAAUAAAGACAAGAACGGGACUAUUGUUAUUGGCAUAAUAAUUUUGUGAGCCCAAUCUUUUUAUUGAUUCAUUCCUAAGUUUUGGCAUGAGGAAAAGAUAUAAUAUCAAUUUUGGUUCAAGUCCAAUAUUUCUAAUGUUUGGUGAUUGAUAUUUCUAAUGUCUAGCACAUGAAGUCUAUCGCAUAUCAACCUGGGCAUUUUUAGCUAUGUUGAGGUCUUGUGUCUGAGCUUACGGGCACUCUGGAAGAAGAGUGUUGUUGUGUGGAGAACGAUUACUGCUUCGUGUUACAAAUGAAAGCAACAGUAACAAUUGAUAACCUAUUGGAAGCUUUUUUGGGCCGUUGGAUGUGAUUGCAGAGGAGCAUAUCAGGGGUCAAGGACAGAAUUGCUGAUAAAAGAUCGUCAUAUGUUCAGUCCGUAUGAAAAGUCUAGGAGGGAGAUAUCGACGGAGGUCUGGCUCAUUACAGUCGCUGCAAGUAUAUUCUUUUUAGUCACUGUUGCUGAAAUAAGAAGGCAGUUUAAUAUUGUUCCUGAAACAGUUGAUUUCCAGUACAUAAUAUCUCUGUUCAUCUUUAUAUGCAUAGCAGUGAAAUGAAAUUUAAGAGAAAUCAGAAUUGGAUGUCAUCAAGUGUAAAAUUUGAAGGAAUUAUUGUAAGGACAUAUUAUUGUUUUUCUAUUAUCCCUAUUUGGGGAUAUUACAGAAUUAGGAUUGGAUGACAUUGAUGAGGUUGAGGAGGUAUUGCAAUCUACUACCAGGAUGGAGGUUGAGCCACAACCUUCUAUGCCAAGCAAGGAGCCACAGUUGACACUAAGGAUUAGAACCUCAACCUCUCCCCAAGUUUUCACUAGAUUAGGGGAGAGGAAAAUGUAAAAUGUUGCAUUUACUAUCUUCAUUUUGUCAACUAUCCAUUACACAAGGCUAUCAACCAUUAGGAUUUCAUGUGACGAUACAAUUUUGCAUUCAGUUUACAUUCAAAUAACUCAAGUUUAAUAGAAAACACUUUUGUACUCAUUUAUGGACCUCAUUGGAUACAGUCAUUGAAUUUUGCAAAAAAUUCUGUUUCUAAAAAAAUUUAAGCAGUUUUUCAAGUUGUAAAGUUUCUUGCCGAGUUUUUGUCGAGUCAAAAAUUUUAGGUCUACCGAGUUCAAGUUUGCCAACCAUGGUAGUAGCUAUUUUCUUUGCUACUAUAAGAACCUGUUCCACUUAUACCUUCAUCCAUUAUAUUAGGAAUAAGCUUACCUCUAAUAGAGUGGAGAGCUAGUAGUCAUACAUAGCACCUUCCAUUUCUUGAUUUACAAGUUGACAGAAUAAAAGAGGCUCUUGCAAUAUAAUGAGGUAUUGAGCCUAAGGAGAGCCAUCACAGAUUGAUGCAAACAACAGGCAGGUAGGAUUGGUUGCUGUUACAUUGGAUAAGCUAGACAGUUCAUCAUCCAACUCUGAUGCUAAAAAAUUAACAUGAUGUGGAGCAAUAGCUAAUGACUAGUGCUUCAAAUGAGGAUUUUGAUUACACUACCAAUUAACUAUUUUGCCAAUUUGUAAUUUUGGAGUUGUAUUGGAAUUUGACAUUUUAUAUAUUGGGUAUUAAGUAAGCUCUCACAGAGGAUGAAAUUGAAACUUACGACUAUAUUCAAACU
Long non-coding RNA from Cryptomeria japonica (Japanese cedar), 2095 nucleotides. RefSeq lists it as uncharacterized. The record is from RefSeq and is a predicted model, not a curated record. NCBI's taxonomy places the organism in Eukaryota, Viridiplantae, Streptophyta, Pinopsida, Cupressales, Cupressaceae. The transcript is spliced from 3 exons.